This 1312-nucleotide unclassified non-coding RNA is filed under the name Hevea brasiliensis (rubber tree). The record is from RNAcentral. Lineage: Eukaryota; Viridiplantae; Streptophyta; Magnoliopsida; Malpighiales; Euphorbiaceae.
AUAUCAGCAUCCACAUCCACCACGAGGCAAUGAAAGGAUGAGUCGUUAAAGAAUUUUGAGUCAUAUCAUACAAUGGAUUCAUCUACAGAACUGAACGUUUCUUCCAUCUGUGGAUUAAUCUUUCAACUAUUCGUCAUCUCUUCGCGACUGGUUGGUCAGAUCUUUACAGUUACCUUUUGAAAACAAGUCUACUUCUGUAUGCCAUUUGCUCAAGGACGCAAUAGCCGUUUUUCACAGGUCAAGAUCCUGUAACUUGCAUGUGGACCCUCAGAUGUAUCAUGCAAUGCGACAUGCCAACCCAUGGCCUUUGCUGUCUCUUGAAGUUCAUCCAUGACAUUAACGGAGUCACGAAUGUAUGCUCGACCACCAGGUCUGAGUAUGCGAUCCAUCUCAAGCAUGAUGGUAGAGAUAUUACAUCUUUUCCUUUCAAUAGAAAAGAGACCAGCUGCAUGCAAGAAAUCAUAGGUUCUUGGGUACGUAUCAAAUGGUUCACACCAAUCAUGCAUAACUCCUAGAAGUCCACGAUCAUAUAUAACAGGCAAGGUAUUGGGCCCGCUAACAGGUACCACAUUCAGAACCCAACAAUCAAAUCCUUGGUCAAUCAAUGCAGCUGCAAAUCCUCCAAAGACAGCUCUCAUAUCCAAUACAUUUCUUAAUUUAAAUUUCUUCCAAUGCCAAGCACGGAUAUAGCCAGCUAUUGUUUCAGCCCAGUAUUUUGAUUCUGCCUUGAAUAGCUCUUUUCUGGACAUGUAGGCAUCCAUUUGUAUGCUCUGGAGCCUAUCAGGUGGGGUGUGUAAACGGGCAGGCCAUUUGGUAACGUUUGCUCCGUAUCCAUCUUCUGGAAUUUGAGUAAUGCAUGCCUUCAGAUCAACAUACCAAACAUUAUCAGGGUCAUCAUUUGGAUCACACAAUGGAGGUUUUAUUCCUGCUUCACGGCUUAGGUAGCAGCUGUUGUUGAAGGGUUUCUGCCAUAUUGCAAUAUAUCCCUCCUUCUUAACAAGUGUCCAGCAGAGACGAGUAGUAAGUUUAAGCAUCUCUUCCCAUUGUUCUUCUAGAAUUUGCUCAUGCUUAUAAACUGGCUGUGCUGCCCAGGCAAAGUAUCCUCCUGCUCGGAGCAUCCUAUUGACCUCAAGGAGCAAUAUUCCGUCAUCACGAGUCCAAUUGAUUCUACAUCUUGAACAAUGUAUUAUUUCAAAGGCUUGACUUGGAUAUAACAGAAUGUGUUAACUAUAUCAAUAGCUCCCAAGGAUGCUCAAGAGCAAACUGAAUUUGGUUCUCAUGAACAUCCUUGGGAGCUAUUGAUAUAGUUAAC